ACUUCAGGGCUCUGGGAAGACUUCUGAAGGGAUCGGGAGCACAAGUUGUGUUUUCCUCUGUCCUCUCAGUUGGUGACUGGGACCCACGCAAAAGGAAGAGGGUGGACACACUGAAUGAUCGGCUUAGCGAAUGGUGUCGUGCUCAGGGCUGUGGGUACUAUGGCUUGGGACACAGUCUUGAGAAAGGAGGAAUGCUGACGGUGGAUGGGAGCCGACUGACUAGAAGGGCCACAAAUAUUCUUGGGAACAAGUUGGCUGGGCUGGUUAGCAGGGCUUUACGAUAGAUAUGAUGGGGGAAGGGGUGUACUGGAUGACAGAGAAGCGCAUGGGAACGCUGUCACCCUGGGAGGUGGUAAGGGAAAACCCCAGACUUGUCCUGCAGGUAUUAGGGAGGUCUCGUCUGAUAAGGCAACGAGGCCAAUAGCCAAGCUGAACUGCCUCUAUACCAAUGCGCGCAGCAUGGGAAAUAAAUGGGAGGAGCUAGAAACCGUGGCGCAAUUUGGCAAGUGUGACCUAAUUGCUAUCACAGAAACAUGGUGGGAUGAAUCCCACAAUUGGAAUACCCUGAUUGAGGACUACAGGCUUUUCAGAAGGGAUAGACAGGCUAGGAGGGGUGGGGGAGUUGCCCUCUAUGUUAGGAAGUGGAUAAAUUGUGAAGAGCUGUGUCUGAGGAACAGCCACGAUCAAGUGGAGAGUUUGUGGGUAAAAAUCAAGGAUCGGUCCAGCAAAGGGCACCUAGUGGCUGGGGUCUGCUGCAGGCCACCUGAUCAGGAGGAGGCUGUGGAUGAGGCCUUCUUGCUUCAGCUGCAGGAGGUGUCGAGCUUGCAGGCUCUUGUCCUGAUGGGGGAUUUCAAGCACCUGGAUAUCUGCUGGGAUAGUGGCGUGGUGGGUGGCAGACAAUCCAGGAGAUUCCUGGAAUCUGUCGAGGACAACUUCCUGGUCCAGGUAAUAGAUGGACCCAUCUGAGGUGAAGCCUUACUGGACCUGGUUCUCACUAAUGAAGAGAAAAGCAUUAGAGACGUUAAGAUUGGAGGCAGCCUGGGCUGCAGUGACCAUGCCUUGGUGGAGUUUGUGAUCUUGAAGAAUGCGGGCCUGGCAAAAAACAGAGCUAGGACCAUGUGCUUUAGGAGAGCAAACUUCCUGCUGCUCAAGGAACUGCUGAGUGAGAUCCCCGAGGAAGCUGUCCUUAUGGGCAUGGGUGCAGAACAGAGCUGGCAGCUCUGGAAGGACACCUUUCUGAGAGCACAACUGCUCUCCCUCCUCCAAAAGAAGAAGUCGAGCAGGGGAGGCAGGCGACUGUUGUGGCUGUGCAAGGACCUGCAGCUAAAACUGAGAGAAAAGGGGGAAUUGUGUAGCAGGUGGAAGCAGGGUAGUGUGUCCUGGGAGGAAUAGAGGGCUAUUGUCCGUGUGUGUAGAGAUAGGAUUAGGAAAGCCAAGGCGCUGGUGGAGCUGAACUUGGCAAGGGAUGUGGAAGAUAACAAGAAGGGGUUCUACAGGUACAUAGGCAGGAGGAGACAUUCCAAGGAGAGUGUUCCCCCUCUGACGAGAGGCAAUGGGGAGCUGGCUUCUUCAGACACAGAAAAAGCUGAGGUACUCAAUGAGUGCUUUGCCUCAGUCUUCACGGGUGGUCAGGCUUCCCGUGUCUGCCAGGACCACGAGCCUCUAGGUUAGGGUGUGGGAGUGGUUUCUGUCCCACUGUAACGGUAAAACAAGUCCGAGUCCUCCUCAUGAAAUUGAACGUGUGUAAGUCCAUGGGGCCAGAUGAUAUCCAUCCUAGGUAAAGGGCAAAAUCGGGUCCCCGCAGUAUAGAAAGAAGGGCUUCAUAGCAAGAAAAGAGAAAGCAGCUUCACAAGGUAGACAUAAGGGGCACAUAGAGAUAGUUUAUGUAGAGAGUAUUAGAAAACAAGGGAUUCCAAGCACUUUCACAGGCGCUAGGUGCGGAAUAAUAAGGAGAAUGAAGGCCAUAAAGAUAAGGACUGGAGAACAGCUCGAACACAAUUGGCAGGCAUGUGACUAGAUGUCUGAAGUUCGGGGGAUGCCCCCCCUUUUGGGGUCAAAAGUUUGCAGCAAGGAAGACUAUGAGCCUUUGCGAGGAAGACUGCAAGCCUUCAUCAUCACGACCUACUACGCACGCGAAAGGGGGGGAGGGACUGUAUGCUAAUGGGCUCUCCGGAACGUAGGGAAUAUGUAUCCGAAUUCCUGUCAACUACUGAUUAUGUAUUAGUUCAACCUAUAUCUAUAGCACGAUUUCUCCUGAUGGUGUGCAAGUUAGCUGGGACGAUCCCCCUUGCACCAGGGUGUACGCGCGUCACCAAU
Molecule: long non-coding RNA, 2316 nt
Filed under: Gallus gallus (chicken)
Lineage: Eukaryota; Metazoa; Chordata; Aves; Galliformes; Phasianidae
Description: lncRNA (ENSGALG00010003601.1)
Source: RNAcentral